This is a long non-coding RNA of Nanorana parkeri, 89 nucleotides long. RefSeq lists it as uncharacterized. NCBI's taxonomy places the organism in Eukaryota, Metazoa, Chordata, Amphibia, Anura, Dicroglossidae. The record is from RefSeq and is a predicted model, not a curated record. The transcript is spliced from 3 exons.
AUGAAUGGCAGUGUUGGAGGCCACCAGGCAUAUGGAUGUGUCGGAGACCAUCAGGGACAGGAAUGACUGUGUUAGAGAUAAUCAGAAAA